RNAcentral lists this unclassified non-coding RNA (310 nucleotides) under Cadophora sp. RNAcentral's name for it is "partial internal transcribed spacer region". The stretch from base 1 to 46 matches the Rfam family "Eukaryotic small subunit ribosomal RNA", at positions 1786 to 1831 of the family's 1831-position model. The record is from RNAcentral. Lineage: Eukaryota; Fungi; Ascomycota; Leotiomycetes; Helotiales; Ploettnerulaceae.
AAGUCGUAACAAGGUUUCCGUAGGUGAACCUGCGGAAGGAUCAUUACUAGAGCAAAGGAUAGACAGCGCCCGCGGAGCUUGCUCCCUGGGGCUACCCUACUUCGGUAGGGUUUAGAGUCGUCGGGCCUCUCGAAGAAGCUCGGUCCUGAACUCCACCCUUGAAUAAAUUACCUUUGUUGCUUUGGCGGGCCGCCUCGUGCCAGCGGCUUCGGCUGUUGCGUGCCCGCCAGAGGACCACAACUCUUGUUUUUAGUGAUGUCUGAGUACUAUAUAAUAGUUAAAACUUUCAACAACGGAUCUCUUGGUUCUG